GAUGAACGCUGGCGGCGUGCCUAAUACAUGCAAGUCGAGCGAACAGACGAGGAGCUUGCUUCUUCGAUGUUAGCGGCGGACGGGUGAGUAACACGUAGAUAACCUACCUAUAAGACUGGGAUAACUUCGGGAAACCGUAGCUAAUACCGGAUAAUAUUUUGAACCGCAUGGUUCAAAAGUGAAAGAUGGUCUUGCUGUCACUUAUAGAUGGAUCUGCGCUGCAUUAGCUAGUUGGUAAGGUAACGGCUUACCAAGGCAACGAUACAUAGCCGACCUGAGAGGGUGAUCGGCCACACUGGAACUGAGACACGGUCCAGACUCCUACGGGAGGCAGCAGUAGGGAAUCUUCCGCAAUGGGCGAAAGCCUGACGGAGCAACGCCGCGUGAGUGAUGAAGGUCUUCGGAUCGUAAAACUCUGUUAUUAGGGAAGAACAUACGUGUAAGUAACUGUGCACAUCUUGACGGUACCUAAUCAGAAAGCCACGGCUAACUACGUG
RNAcentral lists this ribosomal RNA (497 nucleotides) under uncultured bacterium. RNAcentral's name for it is "partial 16S ribosomal RNA". It matches the Rfam family "Bacterial small subunit ribosomal RNA", at positions 28 to 507 of the family's 1533-position model. The record is from RNAcentral.